CCUACGGGAGGCAGCAGUGAGGAAUAUUGGUCAAUGGGCGAGAGCCUGAACCAGCCAAGUCGCGUGAAGGAUGACUGCCCUACGGGUUGUAAACUUCUUUUGUCAGGGAGCAAUUCAGUCCACGUGUGGGCUUAGCGAUAGUACCUGUAGAAAAAGCAUCGGCUAACUCCGUGCCAGCAGCCGCGUUAAUACGGAGGAUGCGAGCGUUAUCCGGUUUUAUUGGGUUUAAGGGGUGCGUAGGGGGAAUGUCAAGUCAGCGGUAAAAAGUCGGGGCUCAACCCCGACGUGCCGUUGAAACUGGUGUUCUUGAGUGGGCGAGAAGUAUGCGGAAUGCGGGGUGUAGCGGUGAAAUGCAUAGAUAUCACGCAGAACUCCGAUUGCGAAGGCAGCAUACCGGCGCCCAACUGACGCUGAAGCACGAAAGCGUGGGUAUCGAACAGGAUUAGAUACCCUAGUAGUC
Molecule: ribosomal RNA, 460 nt
Filed under: uncultured bacterium
Lineage: Bacteria
Description: partial 16S ribosomal RNA
Rfam family: Bacterial small subunit ribosomal RNA
Source: RNAcentral